Nelumbo nucifera (sacred lotus) is the source of this 682-nucleotide long non-coding RNA. RefSeq lists it as uncharacterized. NCBI's taxonomy places the organism in Eukaryota, Viridiplantae, Streptophyta, Magnoliopsida, Proteales, Nelumbonaceae. The record is from RefSeq and is a predicted model, not a curated record.
CACUAAACCCAAAAUACAUUCGUCCAAACCGAAAACCAGAACGGAAUUCAGUAAUUAUGAAAAACCCUUGUUCAAACUUUGAAGGUUUGAAGUCUGAAACGAUGAAAAACCCUUCUUGAAGGCUCUCACUCUCCAACUGCGCUUCUCUCCGACGAACAAUAUCUCUAGAAAACUAUCUCUUCUCUCUCUCUAGUGGUGCUUCUCUCUCCAACAACAUAUUACACCAUAUUCCAUCUGAUACCCUUGUUAAAGGCUCUUACUCUCCGAUUGCCUUUCUCUCUGGAAAACAAUACCUCUGGAAAACGAUCUCUUCUUUCUCUCUCCAGUGGCAUUUCUCUCUCCAACAACAUAUUGCAGAUAGAUUUUUUCCUAUUUUGGAGUUAUUUCAGCUGAAGAGCAAUGGAGCUUGCAUUGGAUUUCGAGAAACUGACAAAUGAGAAGCUUCUGAAAUUGCAUAUUGUAUUGGUUGACAGAGCUUAUGUGGGGGAAAUUUUGCAGAAAAGAGCUUCUUUUUGAGAUCAAGAAGAUUGAUAGUCUAUGGUCAAUAUGAUUCAGCCUGAACAACUCAGCUUCUAAAGAUGUAGUUGUAAAUAGAUUCAGCCUUAUUUGGAUCCUUGAUAUAACUAUUUGUAUUAAAACAAGCUAUAGUUACAAUGUUGUUAAUCUAUAGAAAGAACAAAUU